Molecule: long non-coding RNA, 541 nt
Organism: Zophobas morio
Lineage: Eukaryota; Metazoa; Arthropoda; Insecta; Coleoptera; Tenebrionidae
Exons: 5
Source: RefSeq, a predicted model, not a curated record
UCCCCCUAGAGUUCUUUUUUUUUUAUUUGCAGUAAACUCAAAUGCGCACCAACUAUUACAGAUUAGGUCGCGCUCCGAAAGCGCGGCGUAGGCUAAUUAGACAUUUGGUGUCGAACCUUAUCAUGCACGAACGGAUAGUUACAACUUGGAGGAGAGCGCAAGUUACUCAUAAAAUAGCUGAUAAAAUUAUUCAUCUUGGUACUAAAAAAACACCGGCGGCACUUGACCAGAUUAAAAAGUUUUUAUAUACUCAGGAACAAACUGACAAACUUUUGUACAUUUUAGUUCCAAGGCUAGAGGGAAAACACUCCGGUAGUUUUACCCGCUGUUUAAAACUUCACCCAAGAAAAUACGAUAGCUCUAAAAUGGGCGUAGUAGAAAUUUUAAGAAAUGAGUUUCCUGCUUUAAGGCCUUUAAAGGAGGUGAGAAAACCAUAUAAAUACGACGAAGCAAAACGGCUGAUAAUAGAAGAAAUUAAGGCAAAAGUCCUCGCUAAGACAAACAAGUCGAUUUGAAGUUUGAAGUAGAUGAUUCUUUUAAG